This 416-nucleotide ribosomal RNA is filed under the name uncultured beta proteobacterium. Its description in RNAcentral is "bacterial SSU rRNA". It matches the Rfam family "Bacterial small subunit ribosomal RNA", at positions 9 to 429 of the family's 1533-position model. Lineage: Bacteria; Pseudomonadati; Pseudomonadota; Betaproteobacteria. The record is from RNAcentral.
GAGUUUGAUCCUGGCUCAGAUUGAACGCUGGCGGAAUGCUUUACACAUGCAAGUCGAGCGGCAGCGCGGGGCAACCUGGCGGCGAGCGGCGAACGGGUGAGUAAUGCAUCGGAACGUGUCCAUGUCGUGGGGGAUAGCCCGGCGAAAGCCGGAUUAAUACCGCAUACGCCCGAGAGGGGAAAGUGGGGGACCGCAAGGCCUCACGCGAUUGGGUCGGCCGAUGUCCGAUUAGCUAGUUGGCGGGGUAAGGGCCCACCAAGGCGAUGAUCGGUAGCUGGUCUGAGAGGAUGAUCAGCCACACUGGGACUGAGACACGGCCCAGACUCCUACGGGAGGCAGCAGUGGGGAAUUUUGGACAAUGGGGGCAACCCUGAUCCAGCCAUUCCGCGUGAGUGAAGAAGGCCUUCGGUUGUAAG